RNAcentral lists this transfer RNA (92 nucleotides) under Chromobacterium vaccinii. RNAcentral describes it as "tRNA-???(ca)". The record is from RNAcentral. Lineage: Bacteria; Pseudomonadati; Pseudomonadota; Betaproteobacteria; Neisseriales; Chromobacteriaceae.
GGCUGGGCUAGAAUGGCGACAGUUUCGGCGCGCAGCCGCCAAGAGCGGCGCGCGGUGCCUGCGGACGCGGGUUCGAUUCCCGCGUCCGGCCA